This 345-nucleotide unclassified non-coding RNA is filed under the name soil metagenome. RNAcentral's name for it is "partial contains 5.8S ribosomal RNA, internal transcribed spacer 2, and large subunit ribosomal RNA". The stretch from base 1 to 119 matches the Rfam family "5.8S ribosomal RNA", at positions 35 to 154 of the family's 154-position model. The record is from RNAcentral.
GAUGAAGAACGCAGCGAAAUGCGAUACGUAAUGUGAAUUGCAAAUUCAGUGAAUCAUCGAGUCUUUGAACGCACAUUGCGCCCCCUGGUAUUCCGGGGGGCAUGCCUGUCCGAGCGUCAUUGCUGCCCUCAAGCACGGCUUGUGUGUUGGGCCCCGUCCCCCGAUCCCGGGGGACGGGCCCGAAAGGCAGCGGCGGCACCGCGUCCGGUCCUCGAGCGUAUGGGGCUUUGUCACCCGCUCUGUAGGCCCGGCCGGCGCUUGCCGAUCAACCCAAAUUUUUAUCCAGGUUGACCUCGGAUCAGGUAGGGAUACCCGCUGAACUUAAGCAUAUCAAUAAGCGGAGGA